Pteropus alecto (black flying fox) is the source of this 114-nucleotide non-coding RNA. The record is from Rfam. NCBI's taxonomy places the organism in Eukaryota, Metazoa, Chordata, Mammalia, Chiroptera, Pteropodidae.
GUAGGUUAUGGGGACAUGUACCCCAUGACAGUGGGGGGCAAGAUCGUGGGCUCACUGUGUGCCAUCGCUGGGGUCCUCACUAUCGCCCUGCCGGUGCCUGUUAUUGUAUCCAAC